This is a long non-coding RNA of Bombus pascuorum, 773 nucleotides long. RefSeq lists it as uncharacterized. The record is from RefSeq and is a predicted model, not a curated record. NCBI's taxonomy places the organism in Eukaryota, Metazoa, Arthropoda, Insecta, Hymenoptera, Apidae. The transcript has 2 exons.
GCUAAGAGGAUACGAGUUCGGACGUAAUGUUUACUCCUCGAUACUAUUACGUAGCUUACACGACUUGAUAGAAAAAACUACGCAAAAAGUUUUGCCAGAGGAACACAAAUCGCGAAACAGAAGGUUGUUUUGAAAGAAAGUCGAAGCUCGGUGUGUCGAUGCUGAUUGUGGCAGAUACAGCGACCCGAAAAGUUGAUCGCGCGUACUCGGAUUUUAAACGAAGUUAUCCCUACAACGAGACAAGCUAACAAGGAUAGAAAGACUGGAAUUAUUGAUCGUAUCGUUUAUCGCACCUUUCGCGUCAAGCUGAGCUAAAAAUGAGAAAUCUAAACGGCCCCGAAAACGAAGGGAACCUGAUACGCGGCAGACUAAAUCACCGUCACUUUUCCAACAGCACCUGUUGAUUUAUACCGGAAAGGGAAGGAGCACCGACGAUCAAUCUGCAGGAACUCUGCCCUUGAUAAGGAUGUUACCUAGCAGUAAGGCUGCUAGAGGUUGUUCGUAGAAAGUCUCGCGAAAACAAGUUGAUUCGGUGCAUAAAUCGACAGGUUGAACUGGAAGGGGUAAAGCACAGGUAAAGUGUACGAUGAUGCAACAGAAGUUUGAAUGGUAAAUGAUGCAAGAGCGAGAAGAAUGAGUAUGAGAAGAACCUGAAAACGCCGAAACUUAACCAUCGCUAAUUAUGAGCACGAAAGGACUUUAAUGUGCGUAUGAUAAGGAGAAAAUAUCUUGGUUUAAUUCUUCGUUAAAAUCAUCGCAAAAUCUCUUUCGCU